CCUCAGCCCCCCGGCCUCCCCGUCCUGGGCUCCCAGCACAGACCUGAGCAGAUGACUCCCGCAUCCUCCUUGUGCCCGCAGUCGUGCUGUCCCCAGGCCUCAGCAGAGCAGUUCCAGAGAGCAGAUUCGGCCCCAGAGCAGUUCACGCCAUCCAGCCAGAUGUGCCCUCUGGCUUUGGGGAGCCCUCCCCAAAGCGAGCCGAGCCGGCCGCCUCCACGGCCCAUCCGCAGCUCAGCUGGCGGCAAACCACGUUGGCGUCGGCCGUGUCCCAGGCACUGUGGGGCAUCGUCGCAGACCGUGCCCCACUGCCCCCGGUAGUAGAUCUCCACUCUCCCUGCACAUCGCCCAGCCCCGUCCACCAGCCGGACCUGGCGGCUCCCUGCAGCGGGGGGAAGCCCCGGCUGUCAGAGGCCGGCCGCGCGCCCGAUCCCACAUCCAGGGGACGCGCUGCUCACCCCGGCACACGGCCCCCACGUCCUCCACGAUGCCUGCGGCCUCGGGCAGGGAGGUGUUGCAGAGGCUCAGGCCGGCCUCGUGGCCUGCACACCGCACCCCGCGCAGCCCCACGGGGCCCGUCCCUCGCUCGGCCCUCGGCACAGUGUAGGCUGCCUCUGCCUCCUCGCAGCGCAGCUGCCGGCACACCACGCUCGCGUCCUCCAUGUCCCACUGAUCAUCCAGGACUCUGCCCCACGUCCCGCGCUGCAACAUCUCCACGCGCCCGUCGCACCGGCUCCCUGCACCCACCAGCCUUAGAGAUGCGCUGUGAGGCGGGCCUGGGGGGAGCAGAAAUGCCAGGAAUGCACGCUGCAGGAUUGCUCCGGGGACGGGUUCAGCCUGGUGAUGCCAUAGGAUCCCAGGGGACUUUUGGGUGGCUGUGUGGCACACGAGGCGCAAUUCCUGCAGCGUUAUCCUGACACACACCUGAGCAAAUGACGGCAGCAUCGUUCUCAUGGGAGCACGCAGAGGCCCCCAGGGCGCUCACCGGGCACUGAUCCGGGCUGCUCUCAGUCCCCUCACAGUGGAACCAGUCAUUCCACACCGGGCCACUUCCUCUCCCAAAAUGCCCUCCUCCAGGAAUGGACACCGCAAACCCGCAGCCCAGGUGAUGACAGAGAACGUGGGCGUCCAAGAGGUCCCAGCAGGAGGCACAAAGGCUG
Molecule: long non-coding RNA, 1157 nt
Filed under: Phasianus colchicus (ring-necked pheasant)
Lineage: Eukaryota; Metazoa; Chordata; Aves; Galliformes; Phasianidae
Description: lncRNA (ENSPCLG00000016150.1)
Source: RNAcentral